Molecule: ribosomal RNA, 252 nt
Filed under: uncultured bacterium
Lineage: Bacteria
Description: partial 16S ribosomal RNA
Rfam family: Bacterial small subunit ribosomal RNA
Source: RNAcentral
GCAAGUCGAACGGAAAGGCCUGCCACCUUGGUGGUGGGUACUCGAGUGGCGAACGGGUGAGUAACACGUGGGUGAUCUGCCCCGCACUGUGGGAUAAGCCUGGGAAACUGGGUCUAAUACCACAUACGACCAUGGCGUAGGGGUCAUGGUGGAAAGCCUUGUCGGUGUGGGAUGAGCCCGCGGCCUAUCAGCUUGUUGGUGGGGUAAUGGCCUACCAAGGCGGCGACGGGUAGCCGGCCUGAGAGGGUGAAC